This 183-nucleotide ribosomal RNA is filed under the name uncultured prokaryote. Its description in RNAcentral is "partial 16S ribosomal RNA". It matches the Rfam family "Bacterial small subunit ribosomal RNA", at positions 355 to 550 of the family's 1533-position model. The record is from RNAcentral.
UGGGGAAUCUUGGGCAAUGGGCGAAAGCCUGACGCAGCGACGCCGCGUGCGGGAAGAAGGCCUUCGGGUUGUAAACCGCUUUCAGGGGGGAAGAAGCGAGAGUGACGGUACCCCCAGAAGAAGCCCCGGCCAACUACGUGCCAGCAGCCGCGGUAAUACGUAGGGGGCAAGCGUUGUCCGGAA